GACGAACGCUGGCGGCGUGCUUAACACAUGCAAGUCGAGCGGGGACAUUGGAGAGCUUGCUCAAAGAUGUUCUAGCGGCGGACGGGUGAGUAACGCGUGAGCAACCUUUCUCUCAGUGGGGAAUAACACAGGGAAACUUGUACUAAUACCGCAUGAGACCACGGGAUCGCAUGGUUUAGGGGUCAAAGAUUUAUCGCUGAGAGGUGGGCUCGCGUCCGAUUAGGUAGUUGGUGAGGUAACGGCCCACCAAGCCGACGAUCGGUAGCCGACCUGAGAGGGUGAUCGGCCACAUUGGGACUGAGACACGGCCCAA
This 313-nucleotide ribosomal RNA is filed under the name uncultured bacterium. Its description in RNAcentral is "bacterial SSU rRNA". It matches the Rfam family "Bacterial small subunit ribosomal RNA", at positions 28 to 334 of the family's 1533-position model. The record is from RNAcentral.